UGUAAUGGGGUUAAAGUACAGUACCGAAGCUACGGAUUUAGUCAUGACUUCGAUCAUGAUCGAGUGGUAGGCGAGCAUUCCAUUUGCUGCGAAGGUCGACGGUAACGACGGCUGGAGCGUAUGGAAGAGCUUAUGCAGGCUUGAGUAGCGAUAAAACAGGUGAAAAACCUGUUCGCCGUAAGCCCAAGGGUUCCUGGGUCAAGUUCAUCUUCCCAGGGUUAGUCGGUCCCUAAGCCGAGGCAGAAAUGCGUAGGUGAUGGAUAGCGAGUUAAUAGUCUCGCACCGCGACGGAUGGUUUCUACAGGAAGGACGAAGAAAGGUAGCCGAGCCGGACACUGGAUGUUCCGGUUCAAGCCCGUAGGAAGAGUGACUAGGAGGCCUAGUGCCACAAACGGUCAUUCAAUUCCGAGAGGGGAUGAGGAGAGCGCUAUGCGCUCAUGAACUCGGUGAUCCUCAGCUUCCGAGAAAAGCUCCGGUAGAGUUAACCGCUGUCGCGACCGUACCGCAAACCGACACAGGUGGGCGGGGAGAAUAUCCCAAGGCGCAUGAGAGAACCCUGCUUAAGGAACUCGCAAAAUGACACCGUAACUUCGGGAGAAGGUGUGCCCUCAUUACGUGAAGCGCGAAUGCGUGGAGCGGACGGGGGUUGCAGAGAAUCGGGGGUAGCGACUGUUUAUCAAAAACACAGCACUCUGCGAAGUCGCAAGACGACGUAUAGGGUGUGAUGCCUGCCCGGUGCUGGAAGGUUAAAGAGAGGAGUCAACGCAAGUGAAGCUCCGAACUGAAGCCCCAGUAGACGGCGGCCGUAACGAUAACGGUCCUAAGGUAGUGAAAUUCCUUGUCGGGUAAGUUCCGACCUGCACGAAUGGCAUAACGACUUCCCCACUGUCUCGAGCAGGGACUCAGCGAAGUAGCACUAGGGGUGAAGAUACCCUUUACCCACGGCAGGACGGAAAGACCCCGUGAACCUUCACUACAGUUUGACAUUGGUUUUCGAAGUAAUUUGCGUAGGAUAGGUGGGAGGCUAUGAAACCCGGGUUCCGGCUCGGGUAGAGCCAACGUUGAAAUACCACCCUGAUUGGUUUGGAAACCUAACCUGCACCCGUAAGCCGGGUGGGGGACACUGUCUGAUGGGUAGUUUGACUGGGGCGGUCGCCUCCCAAAGAGUAACGGAGGCGCGCGAUGGUUCCCUCAGCCUGAUUGGAAACCAGGCGUCGAGUGUAAAGGCACAAGGGAGCUUGACUGCGAGACUGACGGGUCGAGCAGGUACGAAAGUAGGUCUUAGUGAUCCGGUGGCUCCAUAUGGAAGGGCCAUCGCUCAACGGAUAAAAGGUACUCCGGGGAUAACGAAA
RNAcentral lists this ribosomal RNA (1352 nucleotides) under metagenome. RNAcentral's name for it is "bacterial LSU rRNA". It matches the Rfam family "Bacterial large subunit ribosomal RNA", at positions 1171 to 2482 of the family's 2925-position model. The record is from RNAcentral.